This 253-nucleotide ribosomal RNA is filed under the name uncultured bacterium. RNAcentral describes it as "partial 16S ribosomal RNA". It matches the Rfam family "Bacterial small subunit ribosomal RNA", at positions 524 to 776 of the family's 1533-position model. The record is from RNAcentral.
GACGAACCGUACGAACGUUAUUCGGAAUCACUGGGCUUAAAGGGUGCGUAGGCGGCGCAGAAAGUUGGGUGUGAAAUCCCUCGGCUCAACCGAGGAACUGCGCCCAAAACUACUGUGCUCGAGGGAGACAGAGGUGAGCGGAACUUAGGGUGGAGCGGUGAAAUGCGUUGAUAUCCUAAGGAACACCGGUGGCGAAAGCGGCUCACUGGGCAUUAACUGACGCUGAGGAGCGAAAGCAUGGGGAGCGAACAGG